RNAcentral lists this ribosomal RNA (301 nucleotides) under uncultured bacterium. RNAcentral describes it as "partial 16S ribosomal RNA". It matches the Rfam family "Bacterial small subunit ribosomal RNA", at positions 509 to 807 of the family's 1533-position model. The record is from RNAcentral.
CAGCAGCCGCGGGAAUACGAAGGGGGCUAGCGUUGCUCGGAAUGACUGGGCGUAAAGGGCGCGUAGGCGGAUGGUACAGUCAGAUGUGAAAUUCCUGGGCUUAACCUGGGGGCUGCAUUUGAUACGUAUUGUCUAGAGUGAGGAAGAGGGUCGUGGAAUUCCCAGUGUAGAGGUGAAAUUCGUAGAUAUUGGGAAGAACACCGGUGGCGAAGGCGGCGACCUGGUCCUUGACUGACGCUGAGGCGCGAAAGCGUGGGGAGCAAACAGGAUUAGAUACCCCAGUAGUCCCUGUCUCUUAUAC